AACCCUAGACAGGGGAUCACUAGGCUCAUGGGUCGAUGAAGACCGCAGCAAACUGCGCGUCGUAAUGUGAACUGCAGGACACAUGAUCAUCGAUAAGUUGAACGCAUAUUGCACCUUGUACAU
This 123-nucleotide ribosomal RNA is filed under the name Ablabesmyia rhamphe. Its description in RNAcentral is "5.8S ribosomal RNA". It matches the Rfam family "5.8S ribosomal RNA", at positions 1 to 125 of the family's 154-position model. Rfam says of the family: 5.8S ribosomal RNA (5.8S rRNA) is a component of the large subunit of the eukaryotic ribosome. Lineage: Eukaryota; Metazoa; Arthropoda; Insecta; Diptera; Chironomidae. The record is from RNAcentral.